Molecule: ribosomal RNA, 253 nt
Filed under: uncultured bacterium
Lineage: Bacteria
Description: partial 16S ribosomal RNA
Rfam family: Bacterial small subunit ribosomal RNA
Source: RNAcentral
UACGAGGGGGGCAAGCGUUGUUCGGAAUUACUGGGCGUAAAGCGUGCGUAGGUGGUUGUUUAAGUCUGUUGUGAAAGCCCUGGGCUCAACCUGGGAAUUGCAGUGGAUACUGGGCGACUAGAGUGUGGUAGAGGGUAGUGGAAUUCCCGGUGUAGCAGUGAAAUGCGUAGAGAUCGGGAGGAACAUCCAUGGCGAAGGCAGCUACCUGGACCAACACUGACACUGAGGCACGAAAGCGUGGGGAGCAAACAGG